This 253-nucleotide ribosomal RNA is filed under the name uncultured bacterium. RNAcentral's name for it is "partial 16S ribosomal RNA". It matches the Rfam family "Bacterial small subunit ribosomal RNA", at positions 524 to 776 of the family's 1533-position model. The record is from RNAcentral.
UACGUAGGGUGCAAGCGUUAAUCGGAAUUACUGGGCGUAAAGCGUGCGCAGGCGGUUCCAUAAGACAGAUGUGAAAUCCCCGGGCUCAACCUGGGAACUGCAUUUGUGACUGUGGGGCUAGAGUACGGUAGAGGGGGAUGGAAUUCCGCGUGUAGCAGUGAAAUGCGUAGAUAUGCGGAGGAACACCAAUGGCGAAGGCAAUCCCCUGGACCUGUACUGACGCUCAUGCACGAAAGCGUGGGGAGCAAACAGG